Molecule: long non-coding RNA, 550 nt
Organism: Ictalurus punctatus (channel catfish)
Lineage: Eukaryota; Metazoa; Chordata; Actinopteri; Siluriformes; Ictaluridae
Exons: 3
Source: RefSeq, a predicted model, not a curated record
CUGUGGGGAUAAGAUAACAUUGGCUUGUAAAAGCGUAAAGGAAACAGGAAGCCAUCGGUCAUUCCCUAACCUCUUUUUUCUUCUUGCAUGUAAAUAUGACUUUGAGCAUUCACCAUCCUUUUAGUCUCUAACUGCGAUUCAAAAUCACAAACAAGGCUGCGGGCCAUGGGGUAUCCUGUACAACAGAACCACAAAGCAUUUGAGUGCUUUGAAAUGGAGGCAACUGGAGUUCUUGCACAACACAGCUGUGAAAAUACUUUUCAGAGAGAAGAAUCUUUGCCUGUACAGAUGGAUACCACUAAACGUUGUGGAAAGUGCAAGUACCCGGAACGACUUUUUAGUGAACUGCACUACAUUCUGCAUUCGAAUAGAUUUGGUAAGACUUUUAUAUCCAUAUUUGUCUCAUACGAAGACUUUCAAUAGUUGUGAUUUUGAAUUCAUGUCUCAUAUUGUAAACAUUUAUUGACCGAGUCUCAGAACUGGCAUCCAUUAUAAGUUAGUUGUGAAUAAACUGAUAUCUACAUGGCCUCUCAGGUGACACAGUGGUUAU